AUCGCGUCAGUCCUCCAUGAAAUUGGUCCGUUGUCUCCAUCGGAGCUGGACGCCAGUCUCACGUUUGUUUGUCCCCUUCGACUACCAUCGCAUCAUCAAUGCCAACAAAUAAUGAACAAUAUCGAUUGACGGUGAAAUGAACGGUGAAAUGGGUUUUAAUGAGUGAUCUUAUUGUUACUUUUGUGGUGAAUAAAUAAUUCCUCGAUAUCCGAAGUGAACUGUUACACUUGGAGACUUCUGGACCGGUCACGGGUGACUCUCGACGACUAUUUGGGGUCCUGGUGGAGCCGAUCAGCGAGUGCCCUCGCCACGUACAAAAUUACGGAGCCCUCGAACAUGGGGACUCGAGGAACGCGACGCUCAGUGCAGGAAAAACGGAAGAAUGUGAUUAUUUUCAUAGUGAAAAACUAGGGAGCUAAUACAUGCUGUGAUGGCAGCAACCGAUGGUCAAAUUGUUGUUGCAGCGGCGAGAUGGGCUGAGGAAGCGACAUACUUGCGUGAAUUUGUUACCAAGUAUCGUUUACCAGCAGUUAUAAAAAUAACAAAGGGCCAGUAUGGUGGUUUUGGUGUACCAACAUUGCCAGCACCGAGUCUUCAAAGUACAGCACUAUUGGUAUCAGCUGGUAGAAGACGUAAAAUUGUUGCCCAAGCUGUUAAAAUAAAAGAAGGUAGACGAGUCGUUGGAAUCGGACCAAGACUUGCUAUACCAGACUCGUACUCAGGGUACUUUGAAAUACUGAGUGAAGAGGGUAGAGCUGUACGUGGCAUUGAAUCAGUUAAUGAACUGUCAAGAAGAUGUCCAGAUGAGGGUGCACUAGUGAGAGAAACAAUUCGUGGUAUUGCAUGUAAAGUUGAAGACUCUGGUAAUGUCAUUGCCGAGGGUAGUAGAACAUUGACAGCUGGUGAGACUAUUGUUGCUGCUGGUGAAGUUAGCGUAGCAAAUCGUGGUAGAUUUUUACGUUGUGUUGACAGUCGUGGUGACAAUAUUCUACUUAGUAUGGAUCAACGUGGACGUUUCAGUGCACUAGCUAGAGAGGAUAAUAUAAGUGGUGUUCAUACAGCUCGUGCAUUACUUUGUAAACGUUUGCCUCUUACUGUACGAUUAGUUCAUGGACAGCCACCUCGAGGUUUAAAAUCAUCAUCACAAUUUUUACCCGAGCUGAGGUUACUCUCGACAUUUGAGGAGGAGCACGUGUUUGCCCUACCAUUGCAGAGAGAAGGUGUGGCUGUUGCAUUGCCCCUUGCAGCACCACUCAAGCUUGUCAAAGCGAGAAACGAGGAUGCAUUGAGAUCGAUGACAGAAUUCACUAGAUUGGUUGAUAGAGCAUCAAGACUGGUCGCUGAUGUUGCCGAUAGGGCACAUGUACUUGAUGGUAGACUUGGUGAGAGUAAACAAAAUAGACAAACAAGAAGUGCUGGAUUUCUCAGGAGAUCAGCAAGCUCUGACAGUGCUAAUCAUCAUCGUCAUUAUUAUCAUAAUCAUUAUCAUCAUAAUCAUCACAGUAGCCACAGCUACAGAGAUGAAAAUCGUGUGCCACCAUCGUACACCGAGGAUUACGAUGAAAUUGAUCAGAUUUAUGACUACGUCAGAGGCUUUGCACCACUUCCAAAAAGCGUCAGAUCACCCUACGAGAGCCCCGUUAACAGCAAUGCCAAUCAGAUUAAUUCCAGUCCACCACUCACUCCUGUAACCGUGACAAUUGCUCCAUUGCUUGAUGAUCGACCCGAGCCACCGCCAAUCGAGACAAUACCAACGAAAAAAUUACAAGCAGAGAAGAGAACACGUCGGGCUGUUAAGGAAACACCAAUGCCCAAAGUGGAAAAACCUCCAUUGGCAAAGCUAUAUGUUAAGAACAGUGGUACACAACGUGGACGUCCACUCAUAAGGCAAAAGAGUGCAUCACCCCUCAAGGAAACACCGCCGGGCUUCAAAGGUGGUUCACCGCUAUUCAAUAUACGGUACAAGAGUCUCACCAAUCUUCAACAGGCUAUAGAACUCGAUGGUACACUAGAUUCCAGUCAUUCUGGUGGAAGAACCUCCGGCGAUUCUGGGGCAGGGGCUAAGCUUCCCGAAAAAAGAUCGCGAAGGCUGAGCAGACCAAGAUCCUUGACAAAUCUAGUGUGGGACUUGCGCGGUGGUAAUGGAGCAGUAAGACCCGAAACACCACCACCAGUUGCAGCAUCACCCCUAGCACCAACCAAGUGUGGACAACGAUUGGCAGUGACAGUUAUAGCUCCACGACGCGUUGGCACGCUCUACCUCUAACUCGAGAGAGCAGAAAAAUGAACUCAUAGCCAACUCAUAUCGGUGUUACAUAUGCAUACAAGGAUGAUGGAUGGUGUAUACCACGUGGUAAACGUAAUGUGCGUGGCAAAAGAGGCAGUACCAAACGGAAGAUGAUAAUAGUGUACAAGUCUUUCAAUCUCGUGCUCUUCGUCUCUGUGCCUCGUAGGGCGGAAGUACGUAGAGAAAUACUCAAUUACACCCUGAAUCACGCGAGUUGUCUGUCAAUGUGCCAUAUACAAUCGCAAGAAGCUGAAGGGUAAAAAAAAAUUCGACAGACGAAGGGAUGGCGAAGGUAUCAGAGCGGGCGAACGGAUCUCCAAGAAAGCAAAUUAACGAAAAUUCCAUCCACCGUCAGAAGAACAUGACACAGCGAAUGAAAAAUUGAGCGUUAAUAAUAACAAAAGUUUAUAAAAAAAAUGCUCAUCUGUAUUGGGAGCCUCAUGAAAUCCCUGAGGAUGACAUCGAAAAUAUUAAAAAUCACUCAAUUGUGAAUGAGAGAGAAGAUAUCGCUACGGUAAAUAAUCAUAAAUUAGUUCGACUGGCGAAUGCAUUUUGGUUGAGCUGUCAGAAAUGCCAUAAUAAUGACCAAGUUUUAAUUUGUGGUUGUACUUAAGUCAUACCCUCUACACGAUAAGCCUUUUAGCGUUUCUUUAUACAAAACAGCAACGCUGGCAUUCCAUUAUCAGAGAGUGUCUCAUAGUUUUUGUUUCUUAUUCAUUCGUAUUUUCCAGGAUAUUAAAUGAUUACAGAGGUCGAUCGACUAUCGACCCGUCGAUCUCUUUCCCUUUUUCUUCCCCUCCCCAUUACCUCUUUUAUUUUCAAAAAGCAAAUCCCCCAUUACCGUUAUGUUAACUUUUCAACCUUAAGGGAAACAGUGUGAUACGAACAAAAAAUAAAUAACAUAUCCAUUAGGGGAAUGAACAGCAAGGUUUAUGAAGCUUAAUACUAGAGACGUCAGAAAAAUAAGAAGAUAAUUGAGGGGAUAAAGCAAGGCUGACUUAUUGAAUUCAGUGGUCCCAUGAGAAUAAUCCAAUUGGGAGAGAUUUGUUAUUCAUAAUUUUCCAUAAUUAGGGAAUGAUAAAUUGAUGUGGUUUUAUCGUUUCCACGUUUCGCCUUUAUUUCGUUCUACUCUUUCUCCACUGAGUUCUUCAGAAAGUUUGAAAAUUUUUAAAUAAAUUGUAACGGUAGAACUACUUGAGAAACUUCAGACUGUGGGACCACAAUAAAACACUCACGGCCAAUAUGAAUUUCGGUAUCCGGGCCUUAGUCUCAUUUUUGUGAUUAUUAUAGAGAUACAUGAUUAUCAUUUAAAGUAGUUUAGGCUAGGCUUUUUUAAUUGUAUGAAUGCAGCAAAAAAAAACAUGCGAGAUUAAAAAUGAAAGUCAUGUGGACAGUAACGGCCAGUCGGUGGCAUUCCGACAUUUGUUAGCAAUUAAAAAAAACUGAUGAAUAUGCGCAAUGAAAGUCAAGUGGCCUUAUUAAACAAUAUGGAGUAGUGAUUACAUUAACAUCGAGAUCUUGAAUUCAUCUGUUCCACUGCUCCAGAAUGAGUAUAAAGUAGGAGUUAGUACGUGAGAGAGCGAACGCACGUGAGAAAAAGAAAGUUAGAGAUUACGUUUUACGAUAAGUUUCAAGUUUACUGAUUAAUGUAAUUCUUCGGUUUAAGAUAUUCAGUUGCAUUAAGUAAUGAGUUAUGAUUUUUUUUUUCUUACAACUUUUUUUUUUUAACGAAGGCACUCGGUCCCCUUUACGAUCGAACUCUGUGCGAUGUAAUUAUUCCAUGUGAAUGGGUAUUUCGUGCUCCGAUGUUCUUAGGUAGCUCACUAUUGCCACGAUGACAAUGUGUAGUUUUGAUGACGAGUCAUGCCGAUGACUUAUUGGUCUGUUCUUGAUUUAAUGUUUUUUUUUUUCGUGAAAGAAAUCUCUGGGUCACUGCCAUUAUUUUUGGAGUAAACAAAGUGUUUUUUCUUCCUUUGAUUUAUUUCUUUUGUAUUCGACUAGCAGUUUUCGUGGUGAAAACGCUCAAAACGUAAGGGUCGAGGAUCGAUUGUGCCUUCGAAAAUUAUGAUCUUCAAGUGGAUAAUUGAAUAAAAUGAUGAAGAAGCGGUUGCAAAGAGGAAAUAUCCGUUUUUGUGAUUUCACGAGCAAUUGUUCAUUUUUUAUUUUUUUUUUACUCCUGUAUUGCUUACUUAGAGUAGAUUAAUGUAUUGAUUAGAGAAUGUUGCAAUAAAUGACAAUGAUUCCUAUAA
This is an RNA transcript of Diachasmimorpha longicaudata, 4536 nucleotides long. RefSeq lists it as uncharacterized. NCBI's taxonomy places the organism in Eukaryota, Metazoa, Arthropoda, Insecta, Hymenoptera, Braconidae. The transcript is spliced from 6 exons. The record is from RefSeq and is a predicted model, not a curated record.